Molecule: long non-coding RNA, 2477 nt
Organism: Aethalodelphis obliquidens (Pacific white-sided dolphin)
Lineage: Eukaryota; Metazoa; Chordata; Mammalia; Artiodactyla; Delphinidae
Exons: 2
Source: RefSeq, a predicted model, not a curated record
AAAAGCUAAUGACUAGUACUUGGUCAAUUUUAAGUUUUUCUCCCAAUAUUUUUCUUUGAUGACUACUAUCAAAUAGUAGCAGAACACCCAAACCUCUUGGAAAAUGAAUACUGGAAAUGAAAUGAAUGUACUGGAGACUCUUGGAAACUGGAUCCUGAGGAAACCUGUCUGGAGCCUCAGCAGCUCGCCUCCUUCAUGAACCAGUCUGCUUGAGGCACGUCAGUGUGCAAGUUUAAUCAAGCAGAACAUUUCUGACCCAACUAGAUGCUAAGUACAUCAACAUAUUCUCAGCUAAAUCAUGGUUCGUAUGAGACAUAGAAAUACAGGUGUUUCAUCAUCUUCUGCAAAGGAAGCUGACUUCCAGGUGCUCUGCGACCGAAAACAGGUUUGCGCACCCUGGUUCUGACUCCAAGAAGAUGCAAUUUACGGGCAGGAAAACUUCCUGGACGAACAGAGUGAGGGAGAGCUCUCUCAGCACCUUAGAAAACCCAGCCCUGCGAGGUGUCUGCUUCUCUUCCCUGGGAGUCAGAAGAUGUCCUUUCCCUUUAAAUGUGCACCUGGAAAGUUCUCUAUCAAACCAGACUGACACAGGCAGGCCCUCCACCCUGCCAACAAGAGCAGUCACUGAGAUCCAGGAUGGCUGUUGACUAGCUGGCGGGGUUAGCACAGAUGGACUAGCUGGACCACGGACAGAAGGGGGGCACUUGCCAUGAAGGGACCACACUCCACAGGCCCAGGGGGUGGAGCCCGCGAUCUCCUGACUCCCACAGCUGCCCUCGGACCUCACCUCUCUCCCUCUGAGGCUCAGGCCACGAGCCAGAACACUGUUCCUCUUGCUGACCUCCAACAUUCGUUGCAGGCCUUGGAGCCCUGCUCACCAGCCCCCCCAGGGUCACAUUCCCUGCUGCUGUCCUGGCGAUUUCUGACAUCUACGUGCACAACUCACCCUUCAACUAUGUUUCUCAGGACAGCAUUGCUAUUUCAGGAAGGUGGGCAGGGUCUAACCGUUCUGCAGUCCCAUUUCCACUAUGUAAACUGUUACAAAUUUUAGGAGACGUGUGUGCUGAGAAGUCUUAAAAUAAAGUCAAACCACUGUGCUGGUGCAGGAAUCUUAGUACAGAUCCAGACUUUUUACUGCACUCCUACUGAAAGCGAGGUGUUACGAAGCACAUUCUCCCACUGGAUCCUAAAGGGGCUCUGAGGUGCUAUAGCUGAAAAGAUCUGGAAGAGAGUUGUUCCAGACAACUGAAAAGGAAAGAAACUGUUCUGAAAAGAGUUGUUGCCUUGGAACACAGACCUGGGUGCCGUGCUCCAAUCUGGAGUACUCCGCAAGGCCACCCGGCCCCGGAGCUUCCCUGGAGGACCAGCGGAGGCCGCUAUUGAAGCUGCAUCCCAGCCCAGCUUCUCCCUCAGCCUGCCCUCACUGCCCUUGCUUUCUUCCAGGGGCUGUUCCUCUACCACUCCCUGAUAAACCUCCUGCAGGCCGAUCCCCUUCUCAGAGUCUGUUUCCCAGGGAACCCCCCUAGGACUUACACCAUCCUUCUCGAGGGAAGUGACUCUAUCAACAGACUGAGACUUUCGUCUGCCAUAGUUGCCCAAGGACAUGGAGGUCUGUGGGCCUUUUGCAGGAUGAUCAGCUACAUCUCUGCAGCAAACGAGGAAAAUACGUCAUCACUGCAAAUUCCCUCUUAGAAGUCCCUCCAGUCUCAGGAAUCGUACUUGCUUCUCCAAUUUCUAUAAGACAUUGAGAAACUUGCACUCAGUAUGCGACUGUGGUAAGACUGGAUGUCAUCGGACGUCACAAUGGGCCCCCCGUUUUGCCACUGCUGCCUCACAUGUGAGGUGUGUAGAUACUCAAGUCGAAAGCACCACUGGCUCUGGGGCAGGCUGAGGAGUCCUACUCUCCAGCAGAGGGCUGGAAGCAAUGUACCCAGGCAUUUCUUGGCAUUGCACUGGAGGGCAACCAAACAGAGUAGGACCUCCUCUGAGUUGCCCCUGUGUCCUAAAGUCUAGCUUGGCUUAGAGAUGAGAGGCAGCCCUGGUUUGAGACCCUAAAACUAAACUCUAAAUUCUCAGGCCAAAAAAUUAAAGCCCUACUUGCUGUUUCCUGUCAACUCCUUAACUCCUACCAUUCCUAUAAGGCCAUCUCAAGGGACUUCUCCAUAAGACCUUUCUUCUGUUUAUUUUUAAAAGCUUUAUUGAGAUAUAAUUCACAUACCAUACAAUUCACUGUUUAAUAUACUUAAACCACCGAAUUUAAGUGCAAUUCAAUGGUUUUUAGUGUAUUCCCAGAGUUGUGCAACCAUAACCACGAUCAGUUUUAGAACAUUUUCAAUAACCCAAAAAGAAACCCCUCAUCUCUUAGCUGUCAUUCCCAAGCCCCCUCCGUUACCCACCUCCGGCCUCAGGUAACCACUCACCUACCUUCUCUAUACAUUUGUCUAUUCUGGGUAUUCAACAGACACUGAGUCAUACAA